Molecule: ribosomal RNA, 2921 nt
Filed under: Staphylococcus aureus HI013
Lineage: Bacteria; Bacillati; Bacillota; Bacilli; Caryophanales; Staphylococcaceae
Description: bacterial LSU rRNA
Rfam family: Bacterial large subunit ribosomal RNA
Source: RNAcentral
UUAAGUUAUUAAGGGCGCACGGUGGAUGCCUUGGCACUAGAAGCCGAUGAAGGACGUUACUAACGACGAUAUGCUUUGGGGAGCUGUAAGUAAGCUUUGAUCCAGAGAUUUCCGAAUGGGGAAACCCAGCAUGAGUUAUGUCAUGUUAUCGAUAUGUGAAUACAUAGCAUAUCAGAAGGCACACCCGGAGAACUGAAACAUCUUAGUACCCGGAGGAAGAAAAAGAAAAUUCGAUUCCCUUAGUAGCGGCGAGCGAAACGGGAAGAGCCCAAACCAACAAGCUUGCUUGUUGGGGUUGUAGGACACUCUAUACGGAGUUACAAAGGACGACAUUAGACGAAUCAUCUGGAAAGAUGAAUCAAAGAAGGUAAUAAUCCUGUAGUCGAAAAUGUUGUCUCUCUUGAGUGGAUCCUGAGUACGACGGAACACGUGAAAUUCCGUCGGAAUCUGGGAGGACCAUCUCCUAAGGCUAAAUACUCUCUAGUGACCGAUAGUGAACCAGUACCGUGAGGGAAAGGUGAAAAGCACCCCGGAAGGGGAGUGAAAUAGAACCUGAAACCGUGUGCUUACAAGUAGUCAGAGCCCGUUAAUGGGUGAUGGCGUGCCUUUUGUAGAAUGAACCGGCGAGUUACGAUUUGAUGCAAGGUUAAGCAGUAAAUGUGGAGCCGUAGCGAAAGCGAGUCUGAAUAGGGCGUUUAGUAUUUGGUCGUAGACCCGAAACCAGGUGAUCUACCCUUGGUCAGGUUGAAGUUCAGGUAACACUGAAUGGAGGACCGAACCGACUUACGUUGAAAAGUGAGCGGAUGAACUGAGGGUAGCGGAGAAAUUCCAAUCGAACCUGGAGAUAGCUGGUUCUCUCCGAAAUAGCUUUAGGGCUAGCCUCAAGUGAUGAUUAUUGGAGGUAGAGCACUGUUUGGACGAGGGGCCCCUCUCGGGUUACCGAAUUCAGACAAACUCCGAAUGCCAAUUAAUUUAACUUGGGAGUCAGAACAUGGGUGAUAAGGUCCGUGUUCGAAAGGGAAACAGCCCAGACCACCAGCUAAGGUCCCAAAAUAUAUGUUAAGUGGAAAAGGAUGUGGCGUUGCCCAGACAACUAGGAUGUUGGCUUAGAAGCAGCCAUCAUUUAAAGAGUGCGUAAUAGCUCACUAGUCGAGUGACACUGCGCCGAAAAUGUACCGGGGCUAAACAUAUUACCGAAGCUGUGGAUUGUCCUUUGGACAAUGGUAGGAGAGCGUUCUAAGGGCGUUGAAGCAUGAUCGUAAGGACAUGUGGAGCGCUUAGAAGUGAGAAUGCCGGUGUGAGUAGCGAAAGACGGGUGAGAAUCCCGUCCACCGAUUGACUAAGGUUUCCAGAGGAAGGCUCGUCCGCUCUGGGUUAGUCGGGUCCUAAGCUGAGGCCGACAGGCGUAGGCGAUGGAUAACAGGUUGAUAUUCCUGUACCACCUAUAAUCGUUUUAAUCGAUGGGGGGACGCAGUAGGAUAGGCGAAGCGUGCGAUUGGAUUGCACGUCUAAGCAGUAAGGCUGAGUAUUAGGCAAAUCCGGUACUCGUUAAGGCUGAGCUGUGAUGGGGAGAAGACAUUGAGUCUUCGAGUCGUUGAUUUCACACUGCCGAGAAAAGCCUCUAGAUAGAAAAUAGGUGCCCGUACCGCAAACCGACACAGGUAGUCAAGAUGAGAAUUCUAAGGUGAGCGAGCGAACUCUCGUUAAGGAACUCGGCAAAAUGACCCCGUAACUUCGGGAGAAGGGGUGCUCUUUAGGGUUAACGCCCAGAAGAGCCGCAGUGAAUAGGCCCAAGCGACUGUUUAUCAAAAACACAGGUCUCUGCUAAACCGUAAGGUGAUGUAUAGGGGCUGACGCCUGCCCGGUGCUGGAAGGUUAAGAGGAGUGGUUAGCUUCUGCGAAGCUACGAAUCGAAGCCCCAGUAAACGGCGGCCGUAACUAUAACGGUCCUAAGGUAGCGAAAUUCCUUGUCGGGUAAGUUCCGACCCGCACGAAAGGCGUAACGAUUUGGGCACUGUCUCAACGAGAGACUCGGUGAAAUCAUAGUACCUGUGAAGAUGCAGGUUACCCGCGACAGGACGGAAAGACCCCGUGGAGCUUUACUGUAGCCUGAUAUUGAAAUUCGGCACAGCUUGUACAGGAUAGGUAGGAGCCUUUGAAACGUGAGCGCUAGCUUACGUGGAGGCGCUGGUGGGAUACUACCCUAGCUGUGUUGGCUUUCUAACCCGCACCACUUAUCGUGGUGGGAGACAGUGUCAGGCGGGCAGUUUGACUGGGGCGGUCGCCUCCUAAAAGGUAACGGAGGCGCUCAAAGGUUCCCUCAGAAUGGUUGGAAAUCAUUCAUAGAGUGUAAAGGCAUAAGGGAGCUUGACUGCGAGACCUACAAGUCGAGCAGGGUCGAAAGACGGACUUAGUGAUCCGGUGGUUCCGCAUGGAAGGGCCAUCGCUCAACGGAUAAAAGCUACCCCGGGGAUAACAGGCUUAUCUCCCCCAAGAGUUCACAUCGACGGGGAGGUUUGGCACCUCGAUGUCGGCUCAUCGCAUCCUGGGGCUGUAGUCGGUCCCAAGGGUUGGGCUGUUCGCCCAUUAAAGCGGUACGCGAGCUGGGUUCAGAACGUCGUGAGACAGUUCGGUCCCUAUCCGUCGUGGGCGUAGGAAAUUUGAGAGGAGCUGUCCUUAGUACGAGAGGACCGGGAUGGACAUACCUCUGGUGUACCAGUUGUCGUACCAACGGCAUAGCUGGGUAGCUAUGUGUGGACGGGAUAAGUGCUGAAAGCAUCUAAGCAUGAAGCCCCCCUCAAGAUGAGAUUUCCCAACUUCGGUUAUAAGAUCCCUCAAAGAUGAUGAGGUUAAUAGGUUCGAGGUGGAAGCAUGGUGACAUGUGGAGCUGACGAAUACUAAUCGAUCGAAGACUUAAUCAA